RNAcentral lists this unclassified non-coding RNA (275 nucleotides) under air metagenome. Its description in RNAcentral is "partial contains small subunit ribosomal RNA, internal transcribed spacer 1, and 5.8S ribosomal RNA". The stretch from base 1 to 46 matches the Rfam family "Eukaryotic small subunit ribosomal RNA", at positions 1786 to 1831 of the family's 1831-position model. The record is from RNAcentral.
AAGUCGUAACAAGGUUUCCGUAGGUGAACCUGCGGAAGGAUCAUUAUCGAGUAUAACGAAGGCGCGUGGAAACACGCCCCUUCGGUACUUCCAACCCUCUGUUGUUAUAACUAUUCGUUGCUUUGGCGGGACCGUUUGGUUCACACCGAGCGCGCCGGUCCUCACGGACAGGCGAGCGCCCGCCGGAGUCUAACCAAACUCUUGUUUUUAACCAGUCGUCUGAGUAUAAAAUUUUAAUUAAAUUAAAACUUUCAACAACGGAUCUCUUGGUUCUC